RNAcentral lists this long non-coding RNA (339 nucleotides) under Rattus norvegicus (Norway rat). RNAcentral describes it as "long non-coding RNA NONRATT029424". The stretch from base 234 to 317 matches the Rfam family "Small nucleolar RNA SNORD70". The record is from RNAcentral. Lineage: Eukaryota; Metazoa; Chordata; Mammalia; Rodentia; Muridae.
AGGUUCUGAAUGAGAAGAAACUUCAAGAGGUUGAUAGUUUGUGGAAAGAAUUUGAAACUCCAGAGAAAGCAAAUAAAAUAGUAAAGCUAAAACAUUUUGAGAAAUUUCAGGAUACAGCAGAAGCAUUAGCAGGUAAAUAAGAAUUUACAGUAAGAGAAGUUUUUUUUAUUUAAAAAUUUAGCAUUUUGUUUUUCUUAUUAAAAAGUUGUCUUCAGUUGCCUGAGUUAAUCUUCCUCAAUGUUGUCAAUGAUGCAUCUUACUGGAACUGAGUUUCAGUGAUCUAACCCAUUCGUCACUACCACUGAGACAACAUUGAGUUAGCUUUUUUCACCAUAGGGU